This 73-nucleotide transfer RNA is filed under the name Spirochaetaceae bacterium. RNAcentral describes it as "tRNA-Ala". It matches the Rfam family "tRNA". Rfam says of the family: Transfer RNA (tRNA) molecules are approximately 80 nucleotides in length. Their secondary structure includes four short double-helical elements and three loops (D, anti-codon, and T loops). The record is from RNAcentral. Lineage: Bacteria; Pseudomonadati; Spirochaetota; Spirochaetia; Spirochaetales; Spirochaetaceae.
GGGGGUGUAGCUCAGUUGGUAGAGCGCUUGAAUGGCAUUCAAGAGGUAACGGGUUCAACUCCCGUCACCUCCA